UACGUAGGGGGCUAGCGUUGUCCGGAUUUAUUGGGCGUAAAGAGCGUGUAGGCGGCCAGGUAGGUCUGCUGUGAAAACUCGAGGCUCAACCUCGAGACGUCGGCGGAAACCAUCCGGCUAGAGUCCGGAAGAGGAGAAUGGAAUUCCCGGUGUAGCGGUGAAAUGCGCAGAUAUCGGGAAGAACACCCGUGGCGAAGGCGGUUCUCUGGGACGGUACUGACGCUGAGACGCGAAAGCGUGGGGAGCGAACAGG
RNAcentral lists this ribosomal RNA (253 nucleotides) under uncultured bacterium. RNAcentral describes it as "partial 16S ribosomal RNA". It matches the Rfam family "Bacterial small subunit ribosomal RNA", at positions 524 to 776 of the family's 1533-position model. The record is from RNAcentral.